Molecule: non-coding RNA, 279 nt
Organism: Pelobates cultripes (western spadefoot toad)
Lineage: Eukaryota; Metazoa; Chordata; Amphibia; Anura; Pelobatidae
Source: the annotation of a GenBank genome assembly
CUGUGUGUGUUUGUGUGUGUGUUUGUGUCUGACUGUGUGUGUCUGACUGUGUGUGUGUGUUUGUGUCUGACUGUGUAUGUGUGUGUGUGUGUGUGUGUGUGUGUUUGUGUCUGACUGUGUCUGUGUAUGUGUCUGACUGUGUGUGUGUGUGUGUUUGUGUAUGUGUCUGACUGUGUGUGUUUGUGUAUGUGUCUGACUGUGUGUGUGUGUGUUUGUGUAUGUGUCUGACUGUGUGUGUGUGUAUUUAGAAGGUGGGGCGGGGGGAAGGGUUGGGUGGGG